GAUGAAGAACGCAGCGAAAUGCGAUAAGUAAUGUGAAUUGCAGAAUUCAGUGAAUCAUCGAAUCUUUGAACGCACAUUGCGCCCGUCAGUAUUCUGGCGGGCAUGCCUGUUCGAGCGUCAUUACGCCCCUCAAGUCCCCUGUGGACUUGGUGUUGGGGAUCGGCGAGGCUGGUUUUCCAGCACAGCCGUCCCUUAAAUUAAUUGGCGGUCUCGCCGUGGCCCUCCUCUGCGCAGUAGUAAAACACUCGCAACAGGAGCCCGGCGCGGUCCACUGCCGUAAAACCCCCCAACUCUUUAUAGUUGACCUCGAAUCAGGUAGGACUACCCGCUGAACUUAAGCAUAUCAAUAAGCGGAGGA
RNAcentral lists this unclassified non-coding RNA (358 nucleotides) under soil metagenome. RNAcentral's name for it is "partial contains 5.8S ribosomal RNA, internal transcribed spacer 2, and large subunit ribosomal RNA". The stretch from base 1 to 120 matches the Rfam family "5.8S ribosomal RNA", at positions 35 to 154 of the family's 154-position model. The record is from RNAcentral.